GCUUCCUUACUUCCCAUAGUGAAUGUGACGUAUGGAAUGUAAAGAAGUAUGGAGCUGCGCCCAGGUGUAUCAUCGAACCGGAAACACGUCGUGGGACCCGGUGUUCUCCGCGAGACAUGCUCAACAGCUGAUCAAACAGUUGACCACAUGUUUCUGCAGGCUGAAGACAGCAAGAUUUUGUUACGCUCGAUGAAAUCAUGGAAAACGACCGGUGCAUUCUGAUACGCUUUAGAAACGAUUCUUGUUUCCAUAGAAAAUCAACGGAGAGCAGUCGAAAGUCUCGAGAGUGCGCGAUGCAACGUUACGCGAAGUUUCCACGUUUGGCGCGGUCAUCGUAAUGGAAAAAGAUAUUAAACAGCUAUAGUCCGGUACUGGUAUCUAGAUGCCAGAAAUAGAGGCAGUUCCACGUAUACCGUAACGUGACUCGAGCAUCUUUCCAGGUCCAUGUGGCCUCUCCCGUGUUUUCUAUUUACGGUUCCGUCGUGACUACCAUGUGGUCGCCAGCUUUAUUUAAAUCGGCAAAAUAUUUCAAGGCGUUCCCAGGGCCCGUUUGUCUCCCCCGCCGAGCCACGAUUCAUAAACUAGAGAUUUUCUUCUUGCAGAUGACGACGAUGCACCGUUCGACCAGUAAAAACCGGGGAAAAAGUGCUCUGGUGUUCAGCUAAUCCUUUUUUUGUCUCGAUUCUGUGCAUCGUGUACCGACAGUAAACAUCACUUAUAGCGUAUAGAGAAGAAUGCACGGACAAGGAGGAUGGAAGGGGUGAAAACGGUAGAAAGGGAAGGGAGAGCCUGGAAGGAGAUGUUCGUCCGGUGGUGAAGUCAAAAAUAGGACGCAUGGUCACCAGCAUAUUUCCAUAAAUGAGUUCUCCGGUUACAGAGUCUAUUUGCGUUCCGGGCCGGCGACCGAAGUUGCAGCCAAUUACAAUCGGUUCCAGGACGAUUUACGAAUUCUGCGACAGAUCUAGGGAUCUAUUGUGCGCAGUAAUCCACGAAGUUGUUGAAACAGGAGAGUAAAACGCGCGUUCUUCCAUUCUUGCGGAGUAUAAUGAUUGCGAAGAUUGUGAUUACGAAAGAGGGGGUUAGAGAACAUGACGUCAGUGAGCUUCUGUGACGUAAUCGGACUUCGAUGUAUAUGUACUUAGGGAUUUGUAUUAAGUCAUGAGUAAUGCGAUUUUCCUGAGAGCAGGCUUUUAAACGACGAAGCUAGCUAUGAUGCUUUUGAUUGUGAGUUUUGUAAAAAGGGGAUAGAAAAGUGAUAAAUAAUUUUAGCAGAUGGAUGGCAAUAGGUCAUUAAUUAUUAUUGAUAGAUAGUCGUUUAUAUACACGUUGAAAAAAUUCUAUUGUUUAUUCUUACUUAUAUAUAUCUUAUAUAUAUCUUCUUUCUUAUAUAUAUUUACGUUAAAUACAUGUAAUUAAUAAUUGAUACGUUUAAUAUUUGUCUCAAAGAAUUAUGUCGUUGUAUCGAACAAUAUGAAUAUUUUAGAAGACUUUAAUUUUUAAUGCGAUAGGUUUGUAUUUAGAAAUGUUUUGUUAUAUAGGUGUCUUUUUGUAUUAUAAGAAAUUAGCAAAUCAUCGAGUGUUUAUAUCUUCACGAGCAACAGUAUUAUUAUAGUGAUAAUAAGUAUCUAUAUUUUGUAAAGGAAUAGAAAAACGUUUCAUUUUAAAAUAGUA
Bombus impatiens (common eastern bumble bee) is the source of this 1671-nucleotide long non-coding RNA. RefSeq lists it as uncharacterized. NCBI's taxonomy places the organism in Eukaryota, Metazoa, Arthropoda, Insecta, Hymenoptera, Apidae. The record is from RefSeq and is a predicted model, not a curated record. The transcript is spliced from 2 exons.